CCUACGGGAGGCAGCAGUGGGGAAUAUUGGACAAUGGGCGAAAGCCUGAUCCAGCCAUGCCGCGUGUGUGAAGAAGGCCUUCGGGUUGUAAAGCACUUUCAGUGGGGAAGAAAGCCUUGGGGCUAAUACCCUCGAGGAAGGACAUCACCCACAGAAGAAGCACCGGCUAACUCCGUGCCAACAGCCGCGGUAAUACGGAGGGUGCGAGCGUUAAUCGGAAUUACUGGGCGUAAAGCGCGCGUAGGCGGUCUGAUAAGCCGGUUGUGAAAGCCCCGGGCUCAACCUGGGAACGGCAUCCGGAACUGUCAGGCUAGAGUGCAGGAGAGGAAGGUAGAAUUCCCGGUGUAGCGGUGAAAUGCGUAGAGAUCGGGAGGAAUACCAGUGGCGAAGGCGGCCUUCUGGACUGACACUGACGCUGAGGUGCGAAAGCGUGGGUAGCAAACAGGAUUAGAUACCCUAGUAGUC
RNAcentral lists this ribosomal RNA (465 nucleotides) under Vreelandella stevensii. RNAcentral's name for it is "partial 16S ribosomal RNA". It matches the Rfam family "Bacterial small subunit ribosomal RNA", at positions 338 to 795 of the family's 1533-position model. The record is from RNAcentral. Lineage: Bacteria; Pseudomonadati; Pseudomonadota; Gammaproteobacteria; Oceanospirillales; Halomonadaceae.